AACAAACUAAAAAUAAUCCCCAGAUGCUUUGUUCAUCAGCUGUCCUUCUCCAAGAGGUGAUGUCAGACCAGCAAUUAGUUCAGCACAAUGGGAUAAAUAUAGCUGGGGGUCGAAGGUAAAACUCUCAUGAACAGCAGUGGCAGGCUUCCCCUUCUGCCGGAGCAUGAAAAUCCAUAAGACAAAUGAAGGAACGGGGGAAGGACAUUAGAAGGACUUCAGAGAGAGCAGGACCAUUCCAUCACCGGCUGCGACGUGAUAAACGAAGAGCAAAGAUAAACAGAAAGCGCGCGCGCUGCUCUGACAGGAUGAAUGAAGCUGCAACGUGUCCAAUCGGGAGCUGAAAACAAGAUGUAUCUUCAUUAAAUCUGUAGUAUGUCAAAACACUGGGACAAAAUGGGAAUAAACAUCAAUGAAUAGUGAUUUGAGAAUGUAGGUCACUCGCUCUCUGUCGCUUUCCAUCUCUCUGUAUUGUCCUCUGAAUUAUACAAUUCUUUGCUUCUUUCUCCCGUUUGACCCUCAUAGGACAGAACACACAGCCCUCAGAUCUCCGGAGGAAAUGACAGGAGUUGAAUACUGAAUUAAUCUCCAGAGUCAAGUUACUAAUGAAUAGACAGAUGAUAAAAUGUAAAUGAUAUAAAAGGACUCUAUGUGCUACAAAUAAAAGUCUGGCCUUCUUGAUUUUAUCGUGUUUACAUGGCUGGCGUACAUGGUCACAUGAUUACAGUUGGAUAUAUCCAGUAUGCCCCUCUGCAAAAUGAUGCCAAUGUCAAAGCUGAAAAAGAAGCAUGUGACCAGUGAGAAUACAAAGAGCUACAUUUUUUUUUUAAAUAUAAAACGGAUUAUUCCAUUAUAAAAUUGCAGAUUUCAAGGAAUUGUUAUUACACAGUAAGAUAAAGGGGGGGGGGGGGGGUGAUUUGUUACUAUUUUAUGGGUUUUUUUACUCUAAAAAAAUUGCCUGCUGGUAAAAACAAAAUAUUACAAUCAUGUUUUGUCUCUGUAAUUUCCCAUCGGUUAAAACUGUGACCAAGAAUAAACCGCAUACUUUCACCAACAUCUUUAAAUCUCUGUAGGCAUAAAGUUUAUUGCAUAAAAUUCAUGUGCUCACAUAGCAGGUUAACUAAAACGGUUAAAAAUGGUUUUCGCCGAAAUGAAAUAAGUGGAAAUAAAAUAUUUACAAAUAUAUAAUGAAUAAAUAUAGACAUUAGAUGAAGUAUUUUAAUGUAAAUGAAAAUUAGAAAUGUUGCUUUGGCAAGUGCUGAAAAUACAGUAGGGCCCUACGUCUGAACUGAAGUACUCAAAUUACUUAAACUAUAGAAAUUUAAAAGCUAAUAAAAUGACACGAAAUGGCAACAAAAUAUAAAAAUAGCACACAGUAUAUAAACAAUACUAAAACACACCGUUUGGGAUCAAUUUGGUUAAUUAGUGAUUGUUUAAUUAUCAUUGCCGAUUGCGAGAACACACUGCACUUGCUAUAAAACCCAAUAGCAACUACUGGUCACUUUUUUCCCUAGAUAUUUCAGAGAACAGUCUAGAUAUUUCAGAGAACUGACAGUCUUUACCUGCAUUAGUCAAUGUUUCUGUGCUGUCUGUGAACUAACCCAGUUCAUCAAGCCACUGAUCCAGGGACAGUUAAAUGUGGACUCACUGGCAGAAACAGUUGAAUUUGCUCUCCUG
RNAcentral lists this long non-coding RNA (1674 nucleotides) under Carassius auratus (goldfish). RNAcentral's name for it is "lncRNA (ENSCARG00000013655.1)". The record is from RNAcentral. Lineage: Eukaryota; Metazoa; Chordata; Actinopteri; Cypriniformes; Cyprinidae.